UUUUAACUUCAAUUAAUCCCGUGCAAUUUCCACUACACGAACCGUAUUGCGACUUAACACUAAUCAAAAUCACGCAUACGAAGAUCAAUUACUAACAUAUAGAGAAAUUCACUUUAGCAAAUUAUAAUAAAACCAAGGAAUUAUUCUCUUAGAUAAGCUAGUAGUAACCAAACUUAUUGCGCAUACUUCUUUCAGCAUGUGACGAGUGGUUAGUACCUGUCUGAGAUAACAUUCACCGUGACAUGGUGAUUCACGAUUACUAGUAAUUCCUUAUUCAUGUAGUCGAAUUUCAGACUACAAUUCUUAUUUUAACCUGUUUUCAGGGAUUAGCUAAAUAUUCACAUUAUAGCACCCCUUUGUCAAGGUAAAUGUGGCACGUCUAUAGCCCACAAUAAAAGGGUCAUGAUGACUUGUCUUGGUCCCGAUUAUCUUCCAUUAUAGCGGAGAAACUAUUUUAUAUAUACAAAAUAAAAUAUAGGUUACACGUUGAUUCUUUGGAGCUAACCUGCAUCUCACGACAUCAACUGAAGACAGCCAUGCAACACCUGUAUUAUAACACUUUCAUCAUUAAAAAAAUAAUAACAUACCAAAGGGUGAAAUAAUAUACAAAUUGUGGUAAGAUUUUUCGUGGAUCAUCGAAUUAAACAACAUACUUCACUACUGGUAUCAGAAACGGUCUAAUGAUUUUAGUUCCUACGUUGCCGUACUACUCUUAAGGUGGAGUGAUUACACUUUCAUUUAUAGACUAAUAAUUCUAACCUAUGACACUCAUCAGUCUCUGCUUGGACUAUUAGGGUAUCUAAUCCUGUUUGUUACCCAAGCCUUCGUCCCUCAACGUCAGUUUUUACAUAAAGGUUUGCCUUCGCCAUUAUCAGUGCCCUACAGUAUAAAAGAAUUUCAUCUCUACUCCGAUAGUACUAAAUUCCUCUUACAUAAAACUCUAGCAAAAUUGUUGCAAUCUAUGAAGGUCUCAAAAAUUGCAAUCAGCCCGAUCUACGGGAGCUACAUUUGCUGUCUAGGUACCCUUUAAACCUAUUAAAGAUGAAUAACACUAGUCUGCCCCGUGUUCCCGCGACUGCUGGCACGUGUUUUGGUCAAGACUUUUAUAUAGAAAAUAGUCAUUAUCCGUAUUCUAUAUAGAAUUUUAUGCGAUUCCAUUCACCCGAAUUGCUGGUUCAGCCCUUAGGCCAUUGACCAAAAUCCCUCACUGCUGCACUAUUCGUUUUGGGGUUUUUUCAGACCCAAUGUGGUCGAUCAACCUUUCAGUUUCGACUACGGGAUUUACGCUAGUUAAAACAUUACCUUUACUAUUACUUUCCCGGGAUAUUAGCAACUUAAAGCGAAAUUAAAUAUUUCUUUUUCGUUAAUACGAUUUAUAAGGGAUUUGAAUCCCUUACUCCAAGGUAGCAUCAUAUCACAUACUCACCUGUUCACCACUACAAAUUAUUACAUUAGUAAAUAUUUGUCGUACGAUUAGCAUGUGUCAAGCAUUCGGACAGCGUUCAAUCAGAGCCAUCAUCAAACUCAAUAU
RNAcentral lists this ribosomal RNA (1531 nucleotides) under Arthonia susa. Its description in RNAcentral is "small subunit ribosomal RNA". Lineage: Eukaryota; Fungi; Ascomycota; Arthoniomycetes; Arthoniales; Arthoniaceae. The record is from RNAcentral.